This is a small nuclear RNA of Mastomys coucha (southern multimammate mouse), 193 nucleotides long. RefSeq annotates it as U2 spliceosomal RNA. NCBI's taxonomy places the organism in Eukaryota, Metazoa, Chordata, Mammalia, Rodentia, Muridae. The transcript has a single exon. The record is from RefSeq and is a predicted model, not a curated record.
AUUGCUUCUUGGCCUUUUGGCUAAGAUGAAGCAUAGUACCUGUUCUUAUCAAUUUAAUAACACACACAUCCUAUCUUCUCAGUUUUUCAUUUACUAAGUUGUCUUGAAGCAAAACAUUUGAAGCAGGCAACUAAUGAGAUUUAGCUUUCUCCUGAAUGGGGUGCUAAUAACAUUCAUAUUUAGGAGACAAUAU